Molecule: unclassified non-coding RNA, 335 nt
Filed under: soil metagenome
Description: partial contains 5.8S ribosomal RNA, internal transcribed spacer 2, and large subunit ribosomal RNA
Rfam family: 5.8S ribosomal RNA (bases 1-120)
Source: RNAcentral
GAUGAAGAACGUAGCGAAAUGCGAUAAGUAGUGUGAAUUGCAGAAUUCAGUGAAUCAUCGAAUCUUUGAACGCACCUUGCGCCCUCUGGUAUUCCGGAGGGCAUGCCUGUUUGAGUGUCAUGAACACCUCACCCCCUCGGGUUUCCGAUUGGGUGGAUUUGGGUGCUGCCAGUUACAUGGCUCGCCUUAAACGCAUUAGCGGUUGUUGACGUAAUAAGUUUCGUCUUGUCGACCGCUUCUAAUCUCCUUCGGGAUGUCUUUCGGGACACUUCAUGAUCUGACCUCAAAUCAGGUAGGACUACCCGCUGAACUUAAGCAUAUCAAUAAGCGGAGGA